AUCCAGCUGAUGAGUCCCAAAAUAGGACGAAACACCCGUCCUGGAU
Schistosoma curassoni is the source of this 46-nucleotide non-coding RNA. Lineage: Eukaryota; Metazoa; Platyhelminthes; Trematoda; Strigeidida; Schistosomatidae. The record is from Rfam.